Molecule: transfer RNA, 67 nt
Filed under: Cyclophorus martensianus
Lineage: Eukaryota; Metazoa; Mollusca; Gastropoda; Architaenioglossa; Cyclophoridae
Description: tRNA-Lys
Source: RNAcentral
UCUGAGAUAACUAAAAUAUAUAGUAUUAGAUUUUUAAUCUAAAAAUAGUCAAAUAGACUUCUAGGGU